ACGAAGGGUGCAAGCGUUACUCGGAAUUACUGGGCGUAAAGCGUGCGUAGGUGGUUUGUUAAGUCUGAUGUGAAAGCCCUGGGCUCAACCUGGGAAUGGCAUUGGAAACUGGCGGACUCGAGUGCGGUAGAGGGGUGUGGAAUUCCCGGUGUAGCAGUGAAAUGCGUAGAGAUCGGGAGGAACAUCUGUGGCGAAGGCGACUGCCUGGACCAGCACUGACACUGAGGCACGAAAGCGUGGGGAGCAAACAGG
Molecule: ribosomal RNA, 252 nt
Filed under: uncultured Lysobacter sp.
Lineage: Bacteria; Pseudomonadati; Pseudomonadota; Gammaproteobacteria; Lysobacterales; Lysobacteraceae
Description: partial 16S ribosomal RNA
Rfam family: Bacterial small subunit ribosomal RNA
Source: RNAcentral